UAGAGUUUGAUCAUGGCUCAGAUUGAACGCUGGCGGCAGGCCUAACACAUGCAAGUCGAACGGUAACAGGAAGCAGCUUGCUGUUUCGCUGACGAGUGGCGGACGGGUGAGUAAUGUCUGGGAAACUGCCUGAUGGAGGGGGAUAACUACUGGAAACGGUAGCUAAUACCGCAUAACGUCGCAAGACCAAAGAGGGGGACCUUCGGGCCUCUUGCCAUCGGAUGUGCCCAGAUGGGAUUAGCUAGUAGGUGGGGUAACGGCUCACCUAGGCGACGAUCCCUAGCUGGUCUGAGAGGAUGACCAGCCACACUGGAACUGAGACACGGUCCAGACUCCUACGGGAGGCAGCAGUGGGGAAUAUUGCACAAUGGGCGCAAGCCUGAUGCAGCCAUGCCGCGUGUAUGAAGAAGGCCUUCGGGUUGUAAAGUACUUUCAGCGGGGAGGAAGGGAGUAAAGUUAAUACCUUUGCUCAUUGACGUUACCCGCAGAAGAAGCACCGGCUAACUCCGUGCCAGCAGCCGCGGUAAUACAA
RNAcentral lists this ribosomal RNA (532 nucleotides) under bacterium enrichment culture clone Jdg010. Its description in RNAcentral is "bacterial SSU rRNA". It matches the Rfam family "Bacterial small subunit ribosomal RNA", at positions 1 to 528 of the family's 1533-position model. The record is from RNAcentral.